This 497-nucleotide ribosomal RNA is filed under the name uncultured bacterium. Its description in RNAcentral is "partial 16S ribosomal RNA". It matches the Rfam family "Bacterial small subunit ribosomal RNA", at positions 28 to 507 of the family's 1533-position model. The record is from RNAcentral.
GAUGAACGCUGGCGGCGUGCCUAAUACAUGCAAGUCGAGCGAACAGACGAGGAGCUUGCUCCUCUGACGUUAGCGGCGGACGGGUGAGUAACACGUGGAUAACCUACCUAUAAGACUGGGAUAACUUCGGGAAACCGGAGCUAAUACCGGAUAAUAUAUUGAACCGCAUGGUUCAAUAGUGAAAGACGGUUUUGCUGUCACUUAUAGCUGGAUCCGCGCCGCAUUAGCUAGUUGGUAAGGUAACGGCUUACCAAGGCUACGAUGCGUAGCCGAUCUGAGAGGGUGAUCGGCCACACUGGAACUGAGACACGGUCCAGACUCCUACGGGAGGCAGCAGUAGGGAAUCUUCCGCAAUGGGCGAAAGCCUGACGGAGCAACGCCGCGUGAGUGAUGAAGGUCUUCGGAUCGUAAAGCUCUGUUAUUGGGGAAGAACAAAUGUGUAAGUAACUAUGCACGUCUUGACGGUACCUAAUCAGAAAGCCACGGCUAACUACGUG